Molecule: ribosomal RNA, 324 nt
Filed under: uncultured eukaryote
Lineage: Eukaryota
Description: partial 18S ribosomal RNA
Rfam family: Eukaryotic small subunit ribosomal RNA
Source: RNAcentral
CCCUUAGAUGUCCUGGGCUGCACGCGCACUACACUGAUGUGUCCAGUAAGCACCUAACCUCUUCCGAAAGGAACGGGUAACCUUUGCAAAGCACAUCGUGAUGGGGAUAGAUUAUUGCAAUUAUUAGUCUUGAACGAGGAAUUCCUAGUAAGCACAAGUCAUCAGCUUGUGUUGAUUACGUCCCUGCCCUUUGUACACACCGCCCGUCGCUCCUACCGAUUGAAUGUUCCGGUGAGCUCUUCGGACUGCGCGGUCUGCAGUUUCUGCGUUCCGUGCGGAAAGUUGCGCAAACCUUAACAUUUAGAGGAAGGAGAAGUCGUAACA